CUGUGCCUUGAGUAGUACCACAUGCCAUUUCAUCUACACCUA
Molecule: non-coding RNA, 42 nt
Filed under: Plasmodium falciparum 3D7
Lineage: Eukaryota; Apicomplexa; Aconoidasida; Haemosporida; Plasmodiidae
Source: RNAcentral